RNAcentral lists this non-coding RNA (71 nucleotides) under pig gut metagenome. RNAcentral's name for it is "Glycine riboswitch". It matches the Rfam family "Glycine riboswitch aptamer", at positions 6 to 89 of the family's 94-position model. From Rfam's summary of the family: This family represents the bacterial glycine riboswitch. Glycine riboswitches usually consist of two metabolite-binding aptamers domains with similar structures in tandem. The record is from RNAcentral.
UUGAUUCGGGAGAGUCCGCUCAGCGGCGCCGAAGGAGAAUGCAGAAGCUCUCAGGCAAAAGGACCGGAUCG